This 253-nucleotide ribosomal RNA is filed under the name uncultured bacterium. Its description in RNAcentral is "partial 16S ribosomal RNA". It matches the Rfam family "Bacterial small subunit ribosomal RNA", at positions 524 to 776 of the family's 1533-position model. The record is from RNAcentral.
UACGAAGGGGGCUAGCGUUGCUCGGAAUUACUGGGCGUAAAGCGCACGUAGGCGGCUUUCUAAGUCGGGGGUGAAAUCCUGGAGCUCAACUCCAGAACUGCCUUCGAUACUGGAGAGCUUGAGUCCGGAAGAGGAGAGUGGAAUUCCUGGUGUAGCGGUGAAAUGCGCAGAUAUCAGGAAGAACACCCGUGGCGAAGGCGGCUUCCUGGACCGACACUGACGCUGAGGCGCGAAAGCUAGGGGAGCAAACGGG